RNAcentral lists this ribosomal RNA (468 nucleotides) under uncultured bacterium. RNAcentral describes it as "bacterial SSU rRNA". It matches the Rfam family "Bacterial small subunit ribosomal RNA", at positions 330 to 795 of the family's 1533-position model. The record is from RNAcentral.
GCCAGACUCCUACGGGAGGCAGCAGUGAGGAAUAUUGGUCAAUGGUCGGGAGACUGAACCAGCCAAGUCGCGUGAGGGAGGACGGCCCUACGGGUUGUAAACCUCUUUUGCCGGGGAGCAACGGGCGUCACGUGUGGCGCCACUGAGAGUACCCGGAGAAAAAGCAUCGGCUAACUCCGUGCCAGCAGCCGCGGUAAUACGGAGGAUGCGAGCGUUAUCCGGAUUUAUUGGGUUUAAAGGGUGCGUAGGCGGAGCUUUAAUACAGGGGUCAAUGGGGGGGCCGCACCCCCUCCCCGCCAUUGAAACUGGCGCUCUUGAGUGGAAGAGAGGUAUGCGGAAUGCGUGGUGUAGCGGUGAAAUGCAUAGAUAUCACGCAGAACCCCGAUUGCGAAGGCAGCAUGCCGGCUUCCGACUGACGCUGAAGCACGAAAGCGUGGGGAUCGAACAGGAUUAGAUACCCCAGUACAU